UACGUAGGAUGCAAGCGUUGUUCGGAAUUACUGGGCGUAAAGAGUACGUAGGCGGUUUGAUAAGUCUGCUAUUAAAGACUGGAGCUUAACUCCAGGACUGUAGUGGAAACUGUCAGACUAGAGGACAAUAGAGGAAGUCGGAAUUCUCAGUGUAGCGGUGAAAUGCGUAGAUAUUGGGAAGAACACCAGUGGCGAAAGCGCUCUACUGGACCUUAUCUGACAUUGAGGGACGAAAGCUAGGGGAGCGAAUGGG
RNAcentral lists this ribosomal RNA (253 nucleotides) under uncultured bacterium. Its description in RNAcentral is "partial 16S ribosomal RNA". It matches the Rfam family "Bacterial small subunit ribosomal RNA", at positions 524 to 776 of the family's 1533-position model. The record is from RNAcentral.